RNAcentral lists this ribosomal RNA (2340 nucleotides) under Triticum aestivum (bread wheat). RNAcentral's name for it is "partial small subunit ribosomal RNA". The record is from RNAcentral. Lineage: Eukaryota; Viridiplantae; Streptophyta; Magnoliopsida; Poales; Poaceae.
UACUACUACCACUACUAGUACUAGUACUACCUCCCUUCGAAGACCCUCCUUCGGCUCUCCGGAGUUCCGGUACCUGUUCCGUAUAAUUUUAGUAAGUCGACACGUAGUUCGCGCUCGUGAGGAGGGCUACAGGUGCAGCCUGAUCGACCUUCUGUUUUUCUCGUUCUCCCUCCUUCAACGGAGCUCGGGGUGGGGAAGGAAUAGGAAAGGAGGUUUUAAAGUGUAGCGUGCGUUGGAAGAGAGCACUGCGGCGGCGGCGGAGGAGAAGAGAGGGGGCUAAGAGGAGCGCUGACGAGGCUCGGGGAGGAGAAGGGACACAGCCGACGAGCUGCGCGGCGCGGUGGCGACGCCCUCUUCCACUUGUGCUCCUCUACGUCCCACCCACCGGAGCGGCCCUUGGUGGCCGACCGGUUCCUGGCACACCCGACCGUGAAGGGGCGCCGCGGGAGGAAGGGACUGAACCGGCAGCGGUGACGGGGGAAGGGAGUACAGCUCCGACCCGCACGUGUCUCACCCGCUCAGCUAGCGCUGCCUUGGUCUCAGUGAGCUCCGGCCCCACGCUCUACUACAGGUCGUCCGCCUCCCCACCGGUACCCUCCUCAUCGGGUGUUACUUUAGGUAAAAGAGAAACACACACACAACCUAAAGCUAGCUCCUUCCCCUACCGCACCCCUACUCCGCCACCUGUCUCCUUCUCUCGCUACGACCGACUCGCCCGCCUAGACCUAGGUUCGCCGGGGAGCACACAAACUAGACAUCUCGCCGGUCUCCUCGUCCGGUUGUAUUGUGGUUGCACCACUCGAAGGGGAGAGGCGGUAGAUGGGGUCUAGACUUGUAGUUGCUGUUAAAGCGUUCCUUCUACUCGAAGGUUUCAUGUAGUACGCGCCAUACAUGUAAGGACAGGGCUGCGGCACGGGCUGCGCGACCUGACCUCCGUAUCGCCGCGGCAGUGGUACCAGUUCGUAGUCCCGUUCACACCACGGUACCUUCCUGAUUUGUUCUAGUGCUGUCCGAGAGAAGAGUCGGAAGGACUCAUCUUUGAUUAGCCAACACUGUCUAGGGUGUUACGACCAACACCGCCCAUCCGAGUACUUGAUACGAAUAUUCAAACACUAAUUAUUACUACCCUCACUGUGCUUCCUACUGAUGGGCAAACCACUUAGUCUACUUUGUACGUUGUUUUUGUUUGACUUUUUCGUACACCAUUGUUAACUACCGAUGACUUCGCUGCAGGACGGCCACAUGUAGUCCCUGUGGACGUGGUUGCUACUGCGGAAGUUCCACGGCACCUUCACUCCAGUCCCGUACCCCUAGGCCCGUUCACGCGGUUCCUCUGGCUGCGCAGAAUGGGCGAGUACUGGGUUCGUCACUAAAAGGUAACGGAGAUCUACAUAGUAGCUGGCAGCGGUCGGAAACCAAAAUCUGCACUUGCACGUACAUCGUCAUGAAGUAUAACGAUAUAAAACUAAGACUGCUUUAUUGUAGUGCACCAUGUUAGUUCUUUCACCUUCCCCGCGUAGGAUAGAUCGUGGCGGGGUCGAAGGAGAGUCCGCCGCGUGCACCCACGCGGGGUUGGUGAUCAGACAAUCGUUUCUCUCUCCAAAACAUAUCGACCUCGAGGUGCCAUGGGAGAUAGUCUCGGCGUGUUAUUUCUUAAUAAAAGGAGCUCUAUGCAAGUGUACAAAUUCUACUCGUCGAGACGGUGACCUUAGUUUCGGAUUAUGAGACGUCCCCUGACUUUUUCUAAGCUUAAACUACCCGGAUCAUCCGAUGACCUGUUCUGUACCUCCCGGUUCUGAGUCCUUUUUAUUUUUCUGUCCUGUUCUGGCCUGCUGAGGAGACAUGUUCAUGCUGCGGCUCGAGCGAAGAAAGUUGUACUUUUCUCCACUUCUGUGGUUCCUCCGUCUCCUCGGGCAUUACCACUAUCCCCGUCGACGGCUUGUCUGAAGUUGACACCGCGGAGGCCUAGGUAGGCGUUACUGUAGGCAGAGGUAGAAGGACCUAGUCUCACUUUAUCCACCUUUGUUGCUACGGUCUGACAAGGAGUCGAUGACAGAUACCGUGUUCCAACGUAUCCGGAGAGUGUGAGAGAGGGUCUGACAAGGAGACUGUUGGCCACGUACGGUGAGAAAAGAGAAGGAAAAAGAAAGAGAUAGCUGGGCACGUACGUUAAGAGAGAGAGAAUUAAAACAUUUUUUUUGAAACUUGUUGCCGUGAGAGAGAGAAAUUUUGAACGUACGUCGUCUGAGAGAGAAAUGGACUCGAGACCGUUUGGGUGAACUGAUGUCAUGACGUACGUUCGCCGUCGCUCUCCUGACCACAGUGAUCGGAAAAGUCUGA